RNAcentral lists this ribosomal RNA (907 nucleotides) under uncultured Bradyrhizobiaceae bacterium. RNAcentral describes it as "bacterial SSU rRNA". It matches the Rfam family "Bacterial small subunit ribosomal RNA", at positions 45 to 999 of the family's 1533-position model. Lineage: Bacteria; Pseudomonadati; Pseudomonadota; Alphaproteobacteria; Hyphomicrobiales; Nitrobacteraceae. The record is from RNAcentral.
GGCCUAACACAUGCAAGUCGAACGGAUCCUUCGGGAUUAGUGGCGGACGGGUGAGUAACACGUGGGAACGUGCCUUUUGGUUCGGAACAACUCAGGGAAACUUGUGCUAAUACCGGAUAAGCCCUUACGGGGAAAGAUUUAUCGCCAAAAGAUCGGCCCGCGUCUGAUUAGCUAGUUGGUAGGGUAAUGGCCUACCAAGGCGACGAUCAGUAGCUGGUCUGAGAGGAUGAUCAGCCACAUUGGGACUGAGACGCGGCCCAAACUCCUACGGGAGGCAGCAGUGGGGAAUAUUGGACAAUGGGGGCAACCCUGAUCCAGCCAUGCCGCGUGAGUGAUGAAGGCCCUAGGGUUGUAAAGCUCUUUUGUACGGGAAGAUAAUGACGGUACCGUAAGAAUAAGCCCCGGCUAACUUCGUGCCAGCAGCCGCGGUAAUACGAAGGGGGCUAGCGUUGCUCGGAAUCACUGGGCGUAAAGGGUGCGUAGGCGGGUUUUUAAGUCAGAGGUGAAAUCCUGGAGCUCAACUCCAGAACUGCCUUUGAUACUGGGAAUCUUGAGUAUGGAAGAGGUGAGUGGAACUGCGAGUGUAGAGGUGAAAUUCGUAGAUAUUCGCAAGAACACCAGUGGCGAAGGCGGCUCACUGGUCCAUAACUGACGCUGAGGCACGAAAGCGUGGGGAGCAAACAGGAUUAGAUACCCUGGUAGUCCACGCCGUANACGAUGAAUGCCAGCCGUUAGUGGGUUUACUCACUAGUGGCGCAGCUAACGCUUUAAGCAUUCCGCCUGGGGAGUACGGUCGCAAGAUUAAAACUCAAAGGAAUUGACGGGGGCCCGCACAAGCGGUGGAGCAUGUGGUUUAAUUCGACGCAACGCGCAGAACCUUACCAGCCCUUGACAUGUCUAGGACCGG